This 524-nucleotide ribosomal RNA is filed under the name Uroplatus kelirambo. Its description in RNAcentral is "partial 16S ribosomal RNA". It matches the Rfam family "Bacterial large subunit ribosomal RNA", at positions 1843 to 2597 of the family's 2925-position model. Lineage: Eukaryota; Metazoa; Chordata; Lepidosauria; Squamata; Gekkonidae. The record is from RNAcentral.
GUAUUAAAGGUCCUGCCUGCCCAGUGAACGAGUUUUAAACGGCCGCGGUAUCCUAACCGUGCAAAGGUAGCGUAAUCACUUGUUCUUUAAUUAAGGACUAGUAUGAAUGGCCACAUGAGAGCGCAACUGUCUCCUAUAGCCAGUCAAUGAACCUGAUCCUUCAGUACAAAAGCUGGAAUAUACACAUAAGACGAGAAGACCCUGUGGAGCUUUAAACAAAUCUUAAACCCCGCAACCCCCGACAGGAAAACCCACAGGGGAAAUUAAAGGCGUUUUUAGUUGGGGCGACUACGGGGAAAAACAAAACCCCCACGAAAAACAUUUAUUUUAGACGGACACGUCUACAAUAAGACAUAAAAGACCCAGUAUUACUGGCCAACGAACCAAGUUACCCCAGGGAUAACAGCGCCAUCCCCUUUAAGAGUCCUUAUCACCAAGGGGGUUUACGACCUCGAUGUUGGAUCAGGACAUCCAGGUGGUGUAGCCGCUACCAAGGGUUCGUUUGUUCAACGAUUAAUAGUCCU